CACAGUCUGUCUCGGGCUAUUCAGACGACAGCAACCCUUUCGGAGACUCCAACUUGACUGAGAAUUUGUGUGGAGGAAGAAGAUCGAACGCGACAUUGCGAAUAAGGCACUGAACUUGAAAGAUAUCUCCGUGAAAGCUGAAAGGGUGCGCCAGGAGGAACAGAUGAAGGAAAUCGAGAAGGUUAAGAAGAAACGGGAAGAGAGAGCCAUGGAGAAAGCAAAGAACGAGGAAGAGAAAGCCAUGCUAGCAAGAGAGC
This is a long non-coding RNA of Selaginella moellendorffii, 257 nucleotides long. RefSeq lists it as uncharacterized. The transcript is spliced from 3 exons. The record is from RefSeq and is a predicted model, not a curated record. Lineage: Eukaryota; Viridiplantae; Streptophyta; Lycopodiopsida; Selaginellales; Selaginellaceae.